CUCUGUCAUGCUUUCUUCUGCCAGUAGCUUGUUUGUUCUGAUGUGUGUUUUGACACAACACUUAUUAGAGGGUUAUUACGGUAUCAAUAUUUGUAUUGGCAAGUACCAAAAUCAUGUACUUGUACUUGUUCUCAGUAUGGAACAAUGUUCCCUAGAUAUUAGUGAGUACACCAGCAGCCUGCUGGAGUUGCAGUGACAGUUUCCUCGGAUUGCACCGUAACAAGUAACUAUUGUAAGGUUGACAUGGUAACCUGUGUGACUUGUGCUAUCAGCAUUAUCUUCAUGCUCCAGACGGAGAUGACGGCCCUCCAGGUGAAGGCAGGUUAAAAUGGCUUCCAGUGCCAGAUCUCAGCAUUAAAUUAGCUCCAUGCAGAGCUUCACUUUUUGUUCUGUGGAGCUUUAGGAAACCUGCAGGGCUCCGGAUUGAUUAACAUGUGAAAGGAACAACAACUCUACUCAUCUACAAAGAUUUCUGACCCCAAGGGCACUGAGAUAAUUAAGCAUCAGGCCUGUCAUGAUGAUUACACAGUCGCCUGAGCGCAGUUAUUUGUGCUGAUCAGGUUUAUUUGAGGUGAUUGUGGUUAAUCGUAAUUCCACAGUUAUGCAUUUCUUUAUAUACGGUACUGUGCAAAAUUACUUUGCAUACAGUUAUUUUACUAUUAAAACAUAGCCACUAUCAUUAAAACCUCUUGAAGAUAAAAAGAUAUGUUUUGUUACUGCAAUUAUGUACAUUAGUUUCAUAGUUUCUGCUAUUGUAAACAGUCUAUUGACCAGCAAAGUUAUAUAUCAAAGUUAAUAUUUGUGCUGUGAAUGUUCAUUAUUAUAUUUUACAUUAUAAAAAUGGCACGAAGUCAACAGAACAGACAAUUUAAUUGUUAAUCGCAGUACACACAUUUUUUUAUUUCUCAGUUUUUUGAUGCAAAAUCAGUUUGAAUUUGUCCAGAGAGGUGAUUAGAGCAUAGAAAGGAGCGCCUGUCUGACAGUUUGGUAGCAUACUCCAUUCUGAAGGAUCACAUGUAUUGCCAGAUGUACAUGUAUUGUGCGUAUGUCUCCAGGAUGGAGUUGUUCACGCAGUGAGCCAUUCAACCAUCCGGCUGGCUUCUUGUUGUCAGCCGAAAGAAAUGUUCUCUUUUAGCCUUCUGGCCCGCUGGUGGGCCUUGUCUUAUGCCUGUCAGUACUGUGGCAUGUGCCACAGUUUAUACACAUAGAUGUCAUUUCAGUUCACCAACUCUCAGUAUUUUGAAAAGGGCCAGAUGUGUGAUGAAAUAAUUGACGCUAUGCAGGGGAAGCAUUCUCACGCCCAUUUAAUUUCCCAUUCUGCAGUGGGGUAUUGAUAUUGUGUAUCCAGAAAGUAAACUCACAAAAAAACAGAAAGUAUUGAAUGGAUUGUUUAAAAGUAUUGAAUUUUACUAAUAUUAUGUCAGAAUGGCCUGACUGAGCAUACGGAAAGACAAAUGAAACCAAUAACUUUUAAAACAUCACAGGUUGCAGUACAUACUUGUCUAAUGAGUCAUGUUUUUAUGGAUGUUGGCUUGGAUAAUGUGUCAAGCACAAUAUUAAUUGACUUUUAGACUUUUUUUAAAUCUGAUUUUUCUCUUAUUUUAAUAUAUUAAGCUUUAACAUUUUGACCUAUUGCAAUUCAAUCAUCUGAACCUAUCAAACGAUUACAUUUUUUUGCAAUAUAUUAUAUUCAGAAUGAAUUGUUUUGUAUAAUACAGUCCGUACAGGAUUUUUCAGUUGUUGUUUUUUUGUGAUUGUUGCGGCCAAAAAUGCUUGAUUUUGCUGUGGCUUUUUAAAACGAUUUUUGUGCUUUUUUGCAGAAAACUACUUGAAUUGGCGAAAUUGCAAUUGCACAAAUUUUUUUCGCAGUGAUUGUUGGUAAAUGAGACCUUUUGGCUGCACUUAUUUUCAGCGCAUGGGAAACAAAGAGUAUAUAAAAAUAAAUAUGAUAAACAUAAUAGAGAUGUAUGAUCAGGUAAUACUAACUUAAAGAGUUAAAAAGAGAUUACAAACUGAUUACUGCUAAUAAUAGUACAGUGCAGGUUUGAUUCCUGGUAUUAAUCAGUGCAAGAAACAUGACUGUGAUGGACAGAUGGCUAACACUGCAGCCAUGUAAAAUCAUCUGAACAAACAUCUGCCUUCAGAUAAGCUGACCAUUCCUGUCUGCAUGUCAACGUUCCCCUGUCAGUCUCAUUUUUUAUCAGUAAGUUAAACAUUUCAUAGAAAAUCAAAACACAUCCAUAACCUAAGUCUUAAACUACCGAAGGCUGUAUGUUAAUGUUUAAAACAAGUGCUAAAAAGUUGCAUGUGUAACACAAAUGAAAUAUCGUAGAAUUGAGAUAUACAGUCUGAAAUGAUACUUUAUUGUUUAUUAUAUUUCCGUGUGAAUGAUUUUCUUGUUUAUCUUGAUAUAAGAUACUCUCUAUAUUAGCUGUUUUUUUUUCCUCCUUAAUUUGGAAUAUGAAUAUUUGUAUAAUUAGAAUACAGUUUUUGUUGUAUAAGUUAUCACAAGAUAAAUAUUUUUUGUUAUAAAUACUUUCAUCAUAUUUAAUAGAAUAAAUAUGCUUAUUAUUAGCCUAUUUCAUAAUUUUUUAUAAUUGAGUCAUACAAUAAUAAUAAUAAUAAUAAUAAUAAUAAUAAUAAUAAUAAUAAUUGAGUGCUUCUACUUGGCUCCCCACACAAAGACUAGAAAUAAAAUAUUUAUAAAUCCAAAUAUGAAAAAAAAAUUCCACUGCAGUACAUUUAAUAAUCAUAAUAAUUCCUUACAUUUAUAUAGCACUUUUUUUCUAGAAACUCAAAGCACUUUACAUAGUAGGGGGUAGGGAAUCUCAUCAACCACCAUUGGUGUGUAGCAUUCACCUGGGUGAUGCGACGGCAGCCGUAGUGCGCCAGAGCGCCCACCACACACCAGCUAUUAAUGGAGAGGAGAGAGUGAUCUAGCCAAUUCAGAGAUUCCGAUUAUUAGGAGGCCAUGAUAGAUAAGUGCCAAUGGGGGAAUUUCGCCAGGACACUGGGGUGAUGCCCCUACUCUUUUACGAAAAGUGUCCUGGCAGUUUAUAUGACCACAGAGAGUCAGGACCUCUGUCUAACAUCUCAUCCGGUGCUGUUUCUACAGUAUAGUGUCCCUGUCACUGUACUGGGGGUUAGGCCCCUCACAGAGCACAGGCUGAGAACCCCCUGCUGGCCUCGCUAAUACUACUUCCAGCAGCAACCUUAGUUUUCCCCAGGAGUUCUCCCAUCCAGGUACUGGCCAGACUCAACCCUACUUAGCUUCACUGCAGAACCAGGCAAGAACUGCAGGGAGAUAUGGCUCUAGCAGUUCAAGUACAUUUUUAUUAUAUGGUUAAGCUGUUUACUCUGGAACACAUUGGACCAGCCUAGAUACUUGAGUGAUUAAAAUAUUCUUAAAUUACAGCAUCCUGCUGAGUUUUUUCAGCACCAUGUCAUCCUCCUUUUACCAUCACCCAUAUCAGCAGUACGUCAGGCACUAAUGACAACCUUUAAUCUACCCUUCUUGCUACUACCCAGUAAUUGCUGAUAUAUAGCUAAGUCAUUUAAGCUCACAAUAAUGUUCGCCCCAAAAUGAAUCUGAAAUGACGAAAAACAAGCAAAGAUGAAAGGAAAAGAAGAAAUUCAAAAACUUUUUGAGAUAUUUCCAUCCAUUAUCAUUUUCUGUACUGCUUAUUCAUAGAGCCUAGAGCCUAUCCCAGGGAACUCAGGGCAUGAGGUUAUAGGGACACCCUGGGUGGGAGGCCAGCCCAUUGCAGGGCACAAUCGCACACACAUUCACACACUAUGGGCAAUUUAGAGAUGCCAAUCAGACCACAUGGCAGGUCUUUGCACUUGGUGGAGGAAACUGGAAUACCUGGAGCACAAGGAGAACGCGCACAUAGG
Long non-coding RNA from Ictalurus punctatus (channel catfish), 3894 nucleotides. The record is from Ensembl. Lineage: Eukaryota; Metazoa; Chordata; Actinopteri; Siluriformes; Ictaluridae.